AAUCUCCAUUUUUAGACCUUUGGGAGGGGAGGAGUGGUCUGGAGGGUCAGAGUGGCUCUGGAUUUCCUCCUGAAAGGGUGGAGUUUGGAGUUGGUGUCUAGUCAGGAAUGGAAAAAUGGAAGCGUGCUUUGAUAAGUAGAUGAGAAAGGGAAGACACCCUCUAGGGAGGGUUCAGUUUUGCCCUUGUGUGAAGACAUCUGGAAAUGACUGACGUGAAAAGAAAAGUCAUUUUAAAAAAGCAUAACCAAAAAAUAAAAAAAAGAGGAAACCCAGACUCAUUUGGAAGAGGGACGGAGAACUGGAGGAUCUAUUAUCAACAUUAUAUGAAGCUGUGUGUCCUUUGGAAUCCCCUUCUUACCCUGACUGGACAAGCACACUGUGGCGACUGGGUGAGUUUCUCCUGGAAUGUCCCUCUUUUUUUUCUUGCAGGCUCCCCUCCAUCCACUUAGAGUUGGUGCCCUGGAAAAGGACUUGCCCCAGAUGAGCAAUACAAGCUGAGUGCCAGUCUUUUCCUGAUUUAUCAUGCUGUUCAUUAAUUCAUAUAUAAAAUGCAAUUUAGGCUCAGGCUCAGGAGCCCUCACUCCCUGACACUUUUUUUGCACGUUUGAUAAAUGAUUCCGCUGGAAGAGGCUUGAAGGGCAUCUGCAGUAAAUUGUGCUGAGGUCUAUUUUUCAAAACAUUUUUACACUUUCAGAGCCAAGGGGAGGCUAUCUCCUCUUAGAUAAGGGGAAGUGAGAAAGUUUAUAGCACUUACAUGCUGGGUUCUGAAUUCACUGGGAAGGAGAGGGAGGAACCCAUUCAUAGAAUAAACAUAACAGAUAUCGUAUCUCA
This 831-nucleotide long non-coding RNA is filed under the name Monodelphis domestica (gray short-tailed opossum). RNAcentral's name for it is "lncRNA (ENSMODG00000034869.2)". The record is from RNAcentral. Lineage: Eukaryota; Metazoa; Chordata; Mammalia; Didelphimorphia; Didelphidae.